AAAAAGUUUAUUAUGCUGUCUCGUGGUGCAGGUUUUGAUAGCAAAUCUCACUAAUCAUCCAAGACUUGUCUCUGUUUGUUCUCAAAAUGUGAUUCUCCAGCAUCGAGCAAGACAAUCGCCGCUGUAUUGUUGAAACAAAAGCAACAAGCAUGUCCCGCUAAAAAAGGUUCAAGUCACUCUCACAUUGCUCACAGUCACUGGCUCGUCUCACAAUGCACUUUUCACUGGACGUUGAAUGCUGCGGCUCAGAGAGCAGGAGAGAAAGUGACAGAGGAAAACAUAUAAACAAAGAAACAAAGUGAGAGAAAGAGAGCUGUAGAUGGGGGUGGAAGAGUGAGGUCACCAGAUGGUACAGUGAAAAGAAUGCACAAUGGUAACACAACACUGCUUUCUUUCAGUGUGCUCUUGUAAUCCCAAACUGCAAUACUAUAUGCAAUGCACAUGCCGACUAUAACAUAAUGUUGGCAUUAGUGGAACAGGAAUGAAUAAAGCACCAGUCUAAGAAGCCUUAUGUUAUAGAGAGUUUUAUCAGUGAUAACACACAAACAAUGUUUGUAUUGAUCCAAUUUGUAACAUGUAAAAUAAGUCUGGGAAGGAGAAAAGGCUGGAGAUAAAUGUAUGGCAUUGGUAACUGGUAAUAAAAUAAAACACACAGCUCUCUGACUAGCCUCUUGUCCAUGAGCAGUGAGCUGUUUUUUUGUUGUUGUUGUUUUUUUUUUUUUUUUCAUUUCUCUUUCUGAAAUGCUCGAACAUGACGCCGCCCAUAUCAGGAGCUGACAUCUUGUCUAUAUUUGUAUUAGACAGCAGAAUUUAACAGGACAAAACAGACAAUAUAUUGUUACAAAAACCUCUGAGGGCAGAAUUGUUGCGCUUUUUGCUUUAAAUUCAUAAACUGAAGUUUUAAAUUGAACUGAGCAUGAUUUUCAGCAACAGUUUAUUAUUGUUACUUUUAUAAAAUUUAAUGUAUUUUUCUCACUGAGGAUCAUAUGAAUGUGCAGGGAUGCUCUGUGGAAACAUGAGCCACAGUAUACAGUAUGUGUCUGUGUGUGUCGUCACAGUGGGUUGUUGUUUUGUUUUGGUAUGGCAUCCACGUGGCUAAUGUAGCAACAUGGGGUCACGCUAGUGCGAUCAGUACGGGCCAGAUCUGAGCACCAGCUGUCAUACCUGGCCAUGUCCCCAUUCACACAGCCAGCUGGCGCUUUAUCAGCUCUGCUGCAUUACUUGUCUGUUCAGAAC
Long non-coding RNA from Astatotilapia calliptera (eastern happy), 1236 nucleotides. The record is from Ensembl. NCBI's taxonomy places the organism in Eukaryota, Metazoa, Chordata, Actinopteri, Cichliformes, Cichlidae.